Molecule: long non-coding RNA, 381 nt
Filed under: Pan troglodytes (chimpanzee)
Lineage: Eukaryota; Metazoa; Chordata; Mammalia; Primates; Hominidae
Description: long non-coding RNA NONPTRT010453
Source: RNAcentral
AAAAUGUUAAGCGCAUAUCUCAGAUCUAGUUGUAAAAGUAACAUUUUCUGGGUUGGUGUGAGACAACUUGUUUUGAAUCAGCGUAAGUAUCCUCUUGCUUUUUCCUAAUGUUUCUUGUGUACUUCAGAAGUAUGUAUAGUUUGUUGUUGGGUGGAGUGUUCUAUAGACACCUAUUAGGUCUAGUUGGUUAGAGUGUUGUUCAAGUCUUUUAUUUCCUUGUUGAUCCUCUGUCUAGUUGUUCUACCAUUCAGGCCCAACAUUAUAUCAUAUACAUAUUAUUUUAUAUAAUUGCUUUUUAAAUCAUUUCAGAGAAGAGACAAUACUUUUAUACUCGUUUUCAAAUAAAUAAAUGUCCAAUAUAAAUGUGGAUUUUUAAAAAUA